CUAGCAGAGAAAGCAAGGGAGAAGAAUAGAGAGAACGAAGAAGCUAAUGGAGUUGUGCUGGUAAAGAGAGACAAUAAGAGAAAAUUGACCAUUGAAAAGACUACCUGCUGUCUGGAAUAUUUUUCACGUUUUUGGAGGAGGAGCUUUCCACAUAUAUUUUUUUUUCCCUGACCGAAUUCGGGAGUGUUUUAUGUUACAGAACUGGACUUGGCCUUUAAGUUUCUGCUGGAGAUUGGACCGAGAAAGUCGAUUGCUGAAUUGGAUUCCACUAUUGAGAAACAAGAUGGCGAGCCGUAACCCAGGAGCCCUGUAACCGCCGUCUAGCAGGAGGUACGCCCUCUGCUGGACAUUUCAAAUCAUCCAAACUGGUAUGACCUGCCCAUUUUUUCCUGCUAAAAAA
This is a long non-coding RNA of Cyprinodon tularosa, 400 nucleotides long. RefSeq lists it as uncharacterized. NCBI's taxonomy places the organism in Eukaryota, Metazoa, Chordata, Actinopteri, Cyprinodontiformes, Cyprinodontidae. The transcript has 2 exons. The record is from RefSeq and is a predicted model, not a curated record.